Molecule: ribosomal RNA, 468 nt
Filed under: uncultured bacterium
Lineage: Bacteria
Description: partial 16S ribosomal RNA
Rfam family: Bacterial small subunit ribosomal RNA
Source: RNAcentral
GACGAACGCUGGCGGCGUGCUUAACACAUGCAAGUCGAACGGAAAGGCCCUGCUUUUGUGGGGUGCUCGAGUGGCGAACGGGUGAGUAACACGUGAGUAACCUGCCCUUGACUUUGGGAUAACUUCAGGAAACUGGGGCUAAUACCGGAUAGGAGCUCCUGCUGCAUGGUGGGGGUUGGAAAGUUUCGGCGGUUGGGGAUGGACUCGCGGCUUAUCAGCUUGUUGGUGGGGGAGUGGCUUACCAAGGCUUUGACGGGUAGCCGGCCUGAGAGGGUGACCGGCGACAUUGGGACUGAGAUACGGACCAGACUCCUACGGGAGGCAGCAGUGGGGAAUAUUGCACAAUGGGCGGAAGCCGGAUGCAGCAACGCCGCGUGCGGGAUGACGGCCUUCGGGUUGUAAACCGCCUUCGCCUGUGACGAAGCGUGAGUGACGGUAAUGGGUAAAGAAGCACCGGCUAACUACGUG